Musa acuminata AAA Group (dessert banana) is the source of this 2300-nucleotide long non-coding RNA. RefSeq lists it as uncharacterized. The record is from RefSeq and is a predicted model, not a curated record. The transcript has 2 exons. Lineage: Eukaryota; Viridiplantae; Streptophyta; Magnoliopsida; Zingiberales; Musaceae.
CGGGGACUCCGUGACUUCAGUUCCCUCCGCAACUGUUGUAGCAUGCUUUCUACUCUCUUCCCUCGUUGAAGCCAGCGGAAGCUUUAGGGAUUCCAUCGGUCGUUCUCUCUCUGGUAUCUUGGCGCUCGCCCAAGGCGACCGACACCUAGGUUCAGGCGAGCGACUAGGCAACGCUUCAUUGAAGUGCGUCGCCUGGCCAAUCUGUGAAUUGGUACAUGAUCUUACAGCUCGGCCCUUCUGCUGAGCUUGCUGACAUAGAAGCUAAGUAUUCCAUGCUUGUAUCGCAAUUAAAUUCAAUCAAGAAUGACUUCCCAGGUACUGAGGUGGCCCUAAAUUUUGUGAAGGAAGCUUCUUAUGUGUUCUUAGAUCCAGUUAAACGAGCAGCUUUUGAUUCUAAACGAAGUGGUUUAGGUGGUGUUCCAUGUCAAUCAAACCCUAAGAUUAAGGUUGGUUGCUCUGUGGAUGUUGGCAAUCCAGUGGUGGUGGAAAGAGCUGCUGCAGGAUGUAAUUUUGAUAUACCUUAUUUGAGUGAAAUGGCAACUUGUGAGGCUUCAGAGGACAAUGCUGAACAGCAGCAGAAGAAGAUAUUGACCAAUGAAGAAAGCUGUAUCACAUCCCAAAAGAAUUCCAAAGAUGGUAUUGGUCUCUACCUGAAAUGCCCAGAAGAAAAUUCUUCUUCUUCUUCACAGUUCAUAUCAAGAAAGAGGCCUGAACCUGACUUUUACAACUUUGAGAACAAUGCAAAGGCUGAGCUUUCUUCUCCACUUAUCAGAUUUGGGUAGCCUACAAUCAAGAAAAUAUGCCACGCAGAUAUGCUCAAAUAGAUAAGAUGAUGCCUGACAUGUUUCAUCUGUAUGUUACAUGGUUCAAACCUUGCAUCCCAGAGUCCCAGGAUGAAAAGAAAUGGUUCGCUGCAGUCUUGCCUAUUGCUUGUGGUUCCCUUGUGCUGGAGUGCAACAAAUUCACAUUUAGUAAUCGUGCUAUGUUAUCUCACCUAAUAUCAAAUGGUAUAACAAAACAACAAUUUGAAAUUUAUCCUAGGAAGGGUGAGGUCUGGGUGCACUACAGAGAUUGGGGCAUUGGUUGUUGCUCUAAUCCUCUGGUCACAAAGAAUUGUGACUUUCAAAUGGUGGAAAUUAUUACUGAUUAUUUGGAAGAUUUAGGUGUCACUGCUGCUUACUUGGCCAAGGUUGCUGGAUAUAAGAAUGUCUACUGCAGGUACUUAGAGAGAGGGAAUGUGUUAUCCAUUAAUAUCCCAAGAAAAACACUCUUUAUGUUCUCUCACAAUGUCCCUGCAUUCAGAUUUGAGGGUGGGGAAAUUGAUGGAACUGUGAAAGGUAUGUUGGAGUUGGACCCUUUGGCUGUUCCAGAUAAUUUGUUCCAAUAUUUUUCUUCUGCUAUUGCAACUUGUACAGAUGCACCUUGCUUGAUGCCCAAGGUUGUGAACUGCUAUGAUAAUGCCAAUUUCACUCGGUUUUCUAGUCCUUCUGUUAGUACAACAGACUCAGGCGGGUCAAGUACUGGAAUCCUAAAUCAUAAGUCCAAGCGGUCAGCUAAGAAUUUCAAAGUAGAACAGGUUUGGGCUGUAUAUGAUGGACUGGAUGCUAUGCCUCGAUCAUAUGUGAAGGUAACUAAUGUGGUUUCACCAUGUAGAGUAUCUGUGAAUCUGUGAUAUUCAUAGAAUCUCAUCCAAUGAUUGAUGAAGAAAUUCAGUGGGUGGAAGAAAAUUUGCCACUUGCAUGUGGGAUAUUUCGAGCUGGUAAUGUGGGCAACUUGGAUAUGUCCAGGUUCUCUCACCUUGUUAAGUGUGAUAGUAGCAAAAAGCAAUCAUUCUACAGGAUUUUUCCAAAGAAAGGUGAGAUAUGGGCAGUGUAUAAAAAUUGGAACAAUAACUGGAAAGAUUUCAAUUUUGUUGGGUUCCUAUGUCAAGUGGUUGAGAUCCUAUCAGAUUUCUCUGAGGAGAGUGGAACCAGCAUAUGUAGCUUGGUUGAGGCAGAGGGAUGCGUGACCUUUUUUGUAAGGAAAUUGCAUGAGGGUUUUCAAUUGACGAAGCAGCUUCAAAGAUUAGAAAUGCUCAGCUUGUCACAUGGAAUCCCCGCCUUUACCGUGGUUGGUAUCAAAAACCAUGCAAUUCCAAAAGGGUCUUGGCACCUUGAACCGGAUGCACUACCUCCCAGGUGGAGCAACUAAAAAGUGCGCUGCUGGCAUUAUUGUCCGGGUGUUGGCUGAUCAAACAUAUUAGUAGUUGUAACUAUUAUUAUAUUUAUACUUUUUAAUGUGCCGAAUAUUCAUUCAUACAA